RNAcentral lists this ribosomal RNA (294 nucleotides) under Bacillus subtilis. RNAcentral describes it as "partial 23S ribosomal RNA". It matches the Rfam family "Bacterial large subunit ribosomal RNA", at positions 2263 to 2556 of the family's 2925-position model. The record is from RNAcentral. Lineage: Bacteria; Bacillati; Bacillota; Bacilli; Caryophanales; Bacillaceae.
GGGCAGGUUGACUGGGGCGGGCGCCUCCUAAAAGGUAACGGAGGCGCCCAAAGGUUCCCUCAGCAUGGUUGGAACUCAUUCGCAGAGGGUAAAGGCACAAGGGAGCUUGACUGCGAGACCUACAAGUCGAGCAGGGACGAAAGGCGGGCUUAGUGAUCCGGGGGGUCCGCAUGGAAGGGCCAUCGCUCAACGGAUAAAAGCUACCCCGGGGAUAACCGGCUUAUCUCCCCCAAGAGUCAACAUCGACGGGGAGGUUUGGCCCCUCGAUGUCGGCUCAUCGCAUCCUGGGGCUGU